This 84-nucleotide transfer RNA is filed under the name Prevotellaceae bacterium. RNAcentral describes it as "tRNA-Leu". It matches the Rfam family "tRNA". Rfam says of the family: Transfer RNA (tRNA) molecules are approximately 80 nucleotides in length. Their secondary structure includes four short double-helical elements and three loops (D, anti-codon, and T loops). Further hydrogen bonds mediate the characteristic L-shaped molecular structure. tRNAs have two regions of fundamental functional importance: the anti-codon, which is responsible for specific mRNA codon recognition, and the 3' end, to which the tRNAs corresponding amino acid is attached (by aminoacyl-tRNA synthetases). tRNAs cope with the degeneracy of the genetic code in two manners: having more than one tRNA (with a specific anti-codon) for a particular amino acid; and 'wobble' base-pairing, i.e. permitting non-standard base-pairing at the 3rd anti-codon position. Lineage: Bacteria; Pseudomonadati; Bacteroidota; Bacteroidia; Bacteroidales; Prevotellaceae. The record is from RNAcentral.
GCCCGAAUGGCGGAAUUGGCAGACGCACUAGUUUCAGGGACUAGCGACCGCAAGGUUGUGCAGGUUCGAGCCCUGUUUCGGGCA